UGGGGAAUAUUGCACAAUGGGGGAAACCCUGAUGCAGCGACGCCGCGUGGGGGAUGACGGCCUUCGGGUUGUAAACCUCUUUCAGUAGGGAAGAAGCCUUCGGGUGACGGUACCUGCAGAAGAAGUACCGGCUAACUACGUGCCAGCAGCCGCGGUAAUACGUAGGGUACAAGCGUUGUCCGGAAUUAUUGGGCGUAAAGAGCUCGUAGGUGGUCUGUCACGUCGGCUGUGGAAACGCAAGGCUCAACCUUGCGCGUGCAGUGGGUACGGGCGGACUAGAGUGCAGUAGGGGAGUCUGGAAUUCCUGGUGUAGCGGUGAAAUGCGCAGAUAUCAGGAGGAACACCGGUGGCGAAGGCGGGACUCUGGGCUGUAACUGACGCUGAGGAGCGAAAGCAUGGGGAGCGAACA
RNAcentral lists this ribosomal RNA (409 nucleotides) under uncultured bacterium. RNAcentral describes it as "partial 16S ribosomal RNA". It matches the Rfam family "Bacterial small subunit ribosomal RNA", at positions 355 to 774 of the family's 1533-position model. The record is from RNAcentral.